CAAUAGCGUAUAUUAACGUUGUUGCAGUUAAAAAGCUCGUAGUUGGAUUUCUGGAGGGAGCGUCGGCCCGUAUUUACGAGUGCGUGACGUCUCUGUCCAUCCUUGCGGGAAGGCACGGCAUUGAUUUGUUGUGUCGGAUCGCAUCAUUUACUGUGAAAAAAUUAGAGUGUUCAAAGCAGGCUUUCGCUUGAAUACAUUAGCAUGGAAUAAUAAGAUAGGACUUUGGUGCUAUUUUGUUGGUUGAGCCUAAAGUAAUGAUUAAUAGGGAUAGUUGGGGGCACCUGUAUUGCGUUGUCAGAGGUGAAAUUCUUGGAUUUACGCAAGACAAACAGCUGCGAANGNGUCUGGNAAGGAUGUUCNCAUUA
RNAcentral lists this ribosomal RNA (365 nucleotides) under uncultured eukaryote. RNAcentral's name for it is "partial 18S ribosomal RNA". It matches the Rfam family "Eukaryotic small subunit ribosomal RNA", at positions 592 to 975 of the family's 1831-position model. The record is from RNAcentral.